Molecule: long non-coding RNA, 562 nt
Filed under: Mytilus galloprovincialis (Mediterranean mussel)
Lineage: Eukaryota; Metazoa; Mollusca; Bivalvia; Mytilida; Mytilidae
Source: RNAcentral
GAUCCUUUAUAUACCGUGCCUUGACCUUCCGAUGUCAUUCGGAAAUUUGUGUCGUUCGGUUGCUGUCUCAUUUACGUAUACCCCAAUCCCCUCUUUUACUCAAUACUCUAAAACAAAUUUGUCGAGGCUAAAAAAUAACAAUAAAAAGUCAUACUGUGGGUAAUCUUUUCUGCAAUUUCUUAGAAUGUUUUGCUUUAUAUAUCAUGCACUUACUGCUAUAUGUUGUCAUACUACUUAUUAGAACAUUCCUUUCAUUUGACGUAUACGUGAUGUAUAUACGUUUUAAAGUAAACUUAAGAAGUCCGACUCACAUGUUUGUUCGAUUUUUCUAUUUAUUAAAAGAGAUACAACUUUCAAUCCCUUAUGCUAACGCCAUAUUCCAGUUCAACACCUACGUAUAUUGUCGAGUAGUAUGUAGUUUGUGUGUUUUCUCUGUUUAAAUAUUAUAAAGUAAACAAAUCAGUUUCUAUGCUUAUACUAUUCUGAUCAUAUGAUUUUACAUAACUCAUUUUUUAUCCUUAAAUGUUGUUCUCUUGUUUAAAACUGUAAAGCUGUCGAAAAG